This is a small nucleolar RNA of Cercocebus atys (sooty mangabey), 137 nucleotides long. NCBI's taxonomy places the organism in Eukaryota, Metazoa, Chordata, Mammalia, Primates, Cercopithecidae. The record is from Ensembl.
AGCACUAUAUUUAGAACUAUGGAUGGGAAUAUUCCCCAUUCUUGGUUACACUGUAGUGCAAGAAAAAUCCUGGCUCUCUCUGUUGCACAACUGACUUAUGCCAUUCUGCUGUUGCUGUAUGGAGUUAAGGAACAUGA